Molecule: ribosomal RNA, 479 nt
Filed under: uncultured bacterium
Lineage: Bacteria
Description: SSU rRNA
Rfam family: Bacterial small subunit ribosomal RNA
Source: RNAcentral
AGGACGAACGCUGGCGGCGUGCCUAACACAUGCAAGUCGAACGAGGUCCAUCCGGUAGCAAUACUGGUGAAGAUCAAGUGGCGAACGGGUGAGUAGCACGUGAGCAACCUGCCCCGAAGACCGGGACAACACCGGGAAACCGGUGCUAAUACCGGAUAUCCCCACCGAGUCGCAUGGCUUGGUGAGGAAAUGGAUUCCGCUUCGGGAGGGGCUCGCGGCCUAUCAGCUUGUUGGUGAGGUAAUGGCUCACCAAGGCUUCGACGGGUAGCUGGUCUGAGAGGACGAUCAGCCACACUGGGACUGAGACACGGCCCAGACUCCUACGGGAGGCAGCAGUGGGGAAUCUUGCACAAUGGGCGAAAGCCUGAUGCAGCAACGCCGCGUGAGGGACGAAGGCUUUCUGAGUUGUAAACCUCUUUCAGCAGGGACGAUUGUGACGGUACCUGCAGAAGAGCCCGGCAACUACGUGCCAGCAGCCG